This 644-nucleotide ribosomal RNA is filed under the name Escherichia coli. RNAcentral describes it as "bacterial SSU rRNA". It matches the Rfam family "Bacterial small subunit ribosomal RNA", at positions 868 to 1512 of the family's 1533-position model. Lineage: Bacteria; Pseudomonadati; Pseudomonadota; Gammaproteobacteria; Enterobacterales; Enterobacteriaceae. The record is from RNAcentral.
ACCGCCUGGGGAGUACGGCCGCAAGGUUAAAACUCAAAUGAAUUGACGGGGGCCCGCACAAGCGGUGGAGCAUGUGGUUUAAUUCGAUGCAACGCGAAGAACCUUACCUGGUCUUGACAUCCACGGAAGUUUUCAGAGAUGAGAAUGUGCCUUCGGGAACCGUGAGACAGGUGCUGCAUGGCUGUCGUCAGCUCGUGUUGUGAAAUGUUGGGUUAAGUCCCGCAACGAGCGCAACCCUUAUCCUUUGUUGCCAGCGGUCCGGCCGGGAACUCAAAGGAGACUGCCAGUGAUAAACUGGAGGAAGGUGGGGAUGACGUCAAGUCAUCAUGGCCCUUACGACCAGGGCUACACACGUGCUACAAUGGCGCAUACAAAGAGAAGCGACCUCGCGAGAGCAAGCGGACCUCAUAAAGUGCGUCGUAGUCCGGAUUGGAGUCUGCAACUCGACUCCAUGAAGUCGGAAUCGCUAGUAAUCGUGGAUCAGAAUGCCACGGUGAAUACGUUCCCGGGCCUUGUACACACCGCCCGUCACACCAUGGGAGUGGGUUGCAAAAGAAGUAGGUAGCUUAACCUUCGGGAGGGCGCUUACCACUUUGUGAUUCAUGACUGGGGUGAAGUCGUAACAAGGUAACCGUAGGGGAACC